GACGAACGCUGGCGGCGUGCUUAACACAUGCAAGUCGAACGGAAAGGCCUCUUUCGGGGGGUACUCGAGUGGCGAACGGGUGAGUAACACGUGAGUAACCUGCCCUUGACUUUGGGAUAACUUCAGGAAACUGGGGCUAAUACCGGAUAGGAGCUCCUGCUGCAUGGUGGGGGUUGGAAAGUUUCGGCGGUUGGGGAUGGACUCGCGGCUUAUCAGCUUGUUGGUGGGGUAGUGGCUUACCAAGGCUUUGACGGGUAGCCGGCCUGAGAGGGUGAGCGGCCACAUUGGGACUGAGAUACGGCCCAGACUCCUACGGGAGGCAGCAGUGGGGAAUAUUGCACAAUGGGUGGAAGCCUGAUGCAGCAACGCCGUGUGCGGGAUGACGGCCUUCGGGUUGUAAACCGCUUUCGCUCAUGACGAAGCUUUGUGUGACGGUAGUGGGUAAAGAAGCACCGGCUAACUACGUG
Molecule: ribosomal RNA, 467 nt
Filed under: uncultured bacterium
Lineage: Bacteria
Description: partial 16S ribosomal RNA
Rfam family: Bacterial small subunit ribosomal RNA
Source: RNAcentral